Mus musculus (house mouse) is the source of this 2231-nucleotide long non-coding RNA. RefSeq annotates it as predicted gene, 57624. The transcript is spliced from 3 exons. Lineage: Eukaryota; Metazoa; Chordata; Mammalia; Rodentia; Muridae. The record is from RefSeq and is a predicted model, not a curated record.
GACCUGACAGUUGAAGGAAGAAAUCCAGGUAGCAAAGUCACCUGAGCAUAGAGAGGCCAGUCAGGUGGAGGCGGCCUGUGCACAGGUGGCAGUGGGAAAGGCCUGUUCCUGCAGUUCCAGAAGUACACUAAUGGGGACCAAGGAUUCAAUUAUAUGAGCCUACGGGGGCCGUUCUCAUCCAAACGGCCACAGAUCCGCAUUUAAAAGAGCCAGAAGCUUUACUGAGCGGCGUGUUUGCUUCUUGAGCAAUGCAGCUCAACUGGAGAGUCCCAGCUGCGUGUAGCCUUCCGGACCUGUGCCUCCUUGAGCUCCUGGGGACGUCCGGAGGAAGCCUUGCGACGAGGAGAAGUCGUGGCAGAAAGUGUGAAUGCUCGUAAAUUAUUACCGGAGGAUCCUUCUACUACCGGAGGCUCCUUUGGCUCAGUUAUGCCGGGUUAGGAGUGACCGUGAGAACCCAGCAUCCGGAACGAGGCCAGGAACACAGACGACUUUAGCGAGCAAGCCAUUGUGUCUGUUGAUGGACACAGGAGAAUAAAGACUAGGCGAGUGCUGCGCUGGUCGGCUGGUUUCAGAAGGGCCAGAAAUUCAAGUUCUGGAAACGUUAACUAAACUCAAGCCUCUGAGCAUGCGCGCUGGGCUCUCCAGCAGAGUCUUGGGAUUCUGGCCGGAAGCAGCACAUAGGUGCCUCGUUAGCGCAGUAGGUAGCGCGUCAGUCUCAUAAUCUGAAGGUCGUGAGUUCGAUCCUCACACGGGGCACAAUACUUUUGGCCGCUCCGGGUCUAAUUUCUUGCCAGAAGGAAAUUUUACUCUUUCUCCUGGAAUGUCUUGCGUUGGCGAGGUGUGGAAUGGCUGCCGUGUUCUAAGCGGACCUGGACCUUGAAAACAAUCUGGUGAUCGAUGGGGUCGCGGACUGCCCCGGGGAGGGAGGCGGUCCGUUUCUGCUUGGUUCAGGAAACAGUGUGGUGCGAGGGGCGUGAAGCCGGGAGGGAGGAGGUGGGGACCCGCCCAGGCGCUCGAGGUCUCUAGGGGUCCUGGCCACUCCUGCAGGCAGCAGCCGUGCGACCACAGGUCAGAUAGCAAGUCCCGUGGGGCUUGUUGGCUAUCGCUCAUCCUCCACCUUCCCAGCAGCUACCCUCCCGGGUUACAGCCCUUCUUCAGAGCGUCUUGGGGCAGUGGAGGGUCAGUCAUUUUCUGGGGUGUGUUUACUUCAGUGGCUGAUUCGGGGGCUCGGAAGACAGGCACAGAUGGCCCUCUUCACUCCCUGGGAUCCAAACUUCCCUGAAAACUCUCUGGAUCACCACCAGCCCCCACUCUGGGUGGUAGUACGCAGUAACGUCAGUUGGUCCUCUAUUAAUUCCCAUCGCGCCUGGCUUUUCUUUUCCUUCGUACACAUCAUUCCAUAGUUUCCUUGGAGGAGGCUUAGAGAACACUUAGCAAGCGAACACGUGGCUCUACCACAAGGUCCUUCCUUAAGGGGACCCUGCCUUCCCUUCAACCAUGAGGUUUGGGGUCUGAAAUAUAGGGAUGACCGUAAAUGGAACCGGGGCUUCAGGUCAACUGUGUGGCUCAAGUUGGACUCUGGGCCAUUGGGUCUGGAGUCUUUCCUCUUACGUACACCGUUUUGUUGUUUUGAUUUUUGAGACAUGAUUUCUCUGUGUAGCCCUGGCUGUCCUGGAACUCUCUCUGUAGACCAGGUUGGUCUCCAACUCACAGAGAUCCUCCUGCCUCUACCUCCCGAGUGUUAGGAUUAAAGGCAUGCGCCACCAUUUUAGUAGUCUGCCUGUCUCCUUCCUUAGAGACAAAACAAUAACCAAGGAGCCCUAACUGAUUGCCUGACUGAACCUUGCUGUCCACCGCUGACCUGGGAAUUGAAAAGCCCGUUGGGUCCCUGCUACCACAGACUGCAGUCGUAGGCGUGGCAUUUCUUAUUGUCUGCCAUCAGAGCCACAAUGGACAUCCUCAGCUUUGCAGACAUUUCGCCUUUGCGAUGUCUUACUGGAGUCUGGUUUUUGGACUCCAAGCCUGGACUUGGGAGGUGUGUGUGGGGUCAUGUCAUAAAUCUUGGUUUCUGUUCCUGGCUUCCUAAGCUUUGAAGACCUUUAUCCACACUAAGGAUUCCUAAGAUUUUUUUUCCACCCAUGACCCCUCCCUUUUUGGCCUGAGAAAUUUUACGAGAACCUGGGUUUAUAAGUAUAUAAAUACAUAUACAAAUAAAAUUUAUUGAGAAGAAA